This 253-nucleotide ribosomal RNA is filed under the name uncultured bacterium. Its description in RNAcentral is "partial 16S ribosomal RNA". It matches the Rfam family "Bacterial small subunit ribosomal RNA", at positions 524 to 776 of the family's 1533-position model. The record is from RNAcentral.
UACGAAGGGGGCUAGCGUUGUUCGGAAUUACUGGGCGUAAAGGGCUCGUAGGUGGCCAACUAAGUCAGACGUGAAAUCCCUCGGCUUAACCGGGGAACUGCGUCUGAUACUGGAUGGCUUGAGUUCGGGAGAGGGAUGCGGAAUUCCAGGUGUAGCGGUGAAAUGCGUAGAUAUCUGGAGGAACACCGGUGGCGAAGGCGGCAUCCUGGACCGACACUGACGCUGAGGAGCGAAAGCCAGGGGAGCAAACGGG